GGCCGCCGCCGCAGCGGUCCGGGGAGAAGGCGGCCCUCGUGAGCUUCCCGGUUUCCGCGGCUCCGGAGAGAGCCCCCCAGGUAACGUCUCCUCAAUAUCUACCUGAAGAUUUCUUUCCGCCAACCUGGAAAUAUUUUCCAUAUGAGACAAGAAUCUUGAACUAAAGUUGCUUAAGUGGCCAUCCCAGGUCAACUAAAUGUGGAUGAAUAUAUGUGAUACCACAGGAAAAAAAGGCAAACUCAAGUUCAACAGUAAAUGAGAGGAGAAUAAAGAGGUGAUGGAGCAAUGGGAGGCAGAACAGGAGGAUAUAAUUGAUUGUGUCAACAACAAAAGCAAAUUUGAAGAGGAAGAUAAGAGCACAGUAAAGUGGUUAAAGAUGUUUCAGGACAAUGCAGGAGGUAAAAACUGUUUUAUGGAGGGUCAAACUUAGUGGGAAGAAAGGAUGUUUUUGAUAACAAAGAAAACAGUUUUCUCAAGUUUCUAAGAAAUAAGAGAGAAAAGUAAAUAUCGAUUUUGGAAGCAAUUUGUGGUACAAGGGUGAUUGAAUAUGUUUUAAAAUAAAAAGCAGUGAUACAGUGAUCAUUUUUGCAUAAAAUAAUAUGGUUGUACAUAAGUAAAGUUCUCUAUAAAUGAUUUAAUUUAAAAUAAAUGAAAUGAGACUUAUAGUCUUGACCAAAAAUAAAUUGAUAUUGAAUGGUAAAGGAGAUUAAUCCUAGAUCUUUGCAAACCGUAAAUAGAAAGUAAAUGAAAGAAUCUUUUAGAAUGAAGAAAUGCUGAGGCCAAAAAGA
Molecule: long non-coding RNA, 788 nt
Organism: Lemur catta (Ring-tailed lemur)
Lineage: Eukaryota; Metazoa; Chordata; Mammalia; Primates; Lemuridae
Exons: 3
Source: RefSeq, a predicted model, not a curated record